CCUGCCUGGGAAGUGCAAGAUUCUGAGUUUGAUCCCCGUUACUGGAAGAAAAAAACAGUCCAUUAACGUUUAAUUGGAAGUGGCGAAUGAAUUUAAGCCUUUGAAAUUACAUCAAAGUAUUUUAAACGUUUUACUAAAUUUUGUAUUAAACUUGAAAAUAAUAGAAUUAGACAAUUACAACAAAUGUUUGCGUUCCAGUAAUUUUUCUCAAAUACAUUCUCUCUGAAAUUUAGCAAGCUUUAAUAAAGUUUACACAGGAAAAACUUAGUGACUUUACUAUUAGUGUGACCUUUCCUUUACCUGCUCAGUGUAGUAGCACCAUUAUCUACAAUUUUUCUUUCCCUGGUUUCUGUUGCCUGCAAUGAAUGUCCAAAACUAUGCAGUGGGAAAUUCCAGAAAUAAACUGUGCAUAAACUUUUAAGUUGCAUGUCCUUCUAAAUAACAUAAUGAUAGUCCCAGCCCAGUGCUGUAUUUGCUACCUACCCACCAGUGAGCAGCCAUCUUGGUGAUCAGAUUGUCUCCAAAUCAUUGUGUUUGAGUAAUCUUUAUUUUAUUUAAUCGUAGGCCAAAGCAUAAAACUAGUAAUGCUGAGCAUACUGAAAGAACCUGUAAAGCACUUCCUAUAAGUGAAAGGGUGAACGUUUUUGAUUUAAAGUAAAAAAGAACCUAUGCUGAGGUUUCUAAGAACUAUGGCAAGGACAAAUAAAAAACAUACAUAGUUUUGUGCUGAGAUUUCAGGCAUCCACUAAGGUUUUUGGAAUGGUAAAAGGGUAUUAUUGUGUUACAAUAUGGAUAUUCGUGCUCUGGUACACUGGAAAUUGUUUUCAAAGUUCAUCUUGGAAUCAAGUGUUAAAAUGUUUUGGAAGGAGGAGAGUAGCAUUUCCAAAUGCUGACAAAUGUUGCAGGAAACAUGGGACUGAGAAGAGACCAGAAGUGAAAAAGUUGAGUUAGAAUCAGAGAUGCCAACAGAUUCAUUCUUUUUGUCUUAAGAGUUAAUAAUUAAGAGUUUAAGCAUCUGACACAACAUGAAAGGAUUUUCAGAAGGAUUUUUAUUAUCAUAGAAAUGAAGUUUUUUCUAGGAGUGAUAUUUUUACCCUUAUCCCCCAAUUAACUCAGGUUUCAUGAGGUUAAUCAGAAUUUUAGUACAUGCAUAAGGCGAACUCUUACUGGUGUUUUCUAGAGUCAGAAAAUAUUUCUUUAUGCCAGUAAGAAUUAGGAGUGGAGUAUUCUUCCUUGAAGGCUUAUCCCACUUUUUCUUAUUUCCUGGCUGGCUAAUGCCCGCAACUAGUAUUGAGUACAUGAAAUGGCCCAGGCAGCUUUUUAAGUAUGCAGUAAGUCCCCAUCUUAGGAAAGAGUUCUGUUCCAGGAGAACUUUCUUAAAUCAUAUUUGUUAGUAAUUUCAACAAAAUCUUAAAUGCCUUUGACAAAAAUAUACAAUGUAAAGCAUUAAAAAAUUUGCAUGUUCCAUCAUCUUGUCCUUGUUCUUUGGAAUUGUGCAAAUGGGCAAAUUAUUCAUAAGAAUGAGUAAUGUCUAUCAUCAUUUCAUCUCUGUACAAUCUCACUUAUUUUCACUUGUUUCCAUGUUUAUUGCUUUGUGCUUGCUAGCAGUCCCUUUUACGUCACUACUGCUUUUCCUCUUGUUUCUAGACAUUCUGGGCUCCGAUUAAGCACUGCACUGCUGUACACUAUCACACUGUACAGUAAGUACCCAGCAGCACAACUAUGACAAUGUCUGGCAGACGUGAGCUCCUUCCAUGAUUUGUUUGCCUCUACAAAUGUGUUCAUAAUGUGAGGCAUUUAUUGUUGUGAACUUCCCCUGAGAACUACUGCUGUAUCAUAUAUUUUGGUGCUGUGUUACUUUACAAGCAAUGGAUUCUCCAAUAGUAAUAAACAAACUUCAAACUGUUGCCUGUGAUACUCUACCUACCUUGGGAUCAUGGAAGAUUUAAAAAUGCUUGCUUUGGCUCAAAAUUCUGCUAACUGAGCAGUGGCUGAGAAUGAGGAGCAAAUCUCAGCACAAGGCAUGGGACUUGGAGGCAUCCUGAUUAUUUCUGGAAAGUUGCUGUUUGGCUUCUUCCACUAAGGACUCACCUUUUUGAGGGCACAAAAGAUUCUGAAGAGUUUGCACCACUUGUCAUCUUGAAGGGGAACUUCUAAACCAAGAAUAAAGAGGCUCUCCUGAAAAUAUAUGCCUUCUUUGCCUAUUCGGUUAAGACAUCAUUUUUGUGCUGCUGUUCUUGAGACUCCUGUUGCUUUGUUGGACUGAUUUUAGCUACAGCAUGAUGUCACAAUAGUCCUAGCCCACAAAAGCAACAGUCUAUACCUGAAUUUGGAGAGAACUCAAGGUCUUCAGAAGCUUGAGGCACUAUCCUGAAAGGACAUAAAAACUUAUAGCUACAGAGCUAUUUUGCAACAAUGAGGUACAAGGCCAAGAAAAUUGUAAAGAUACUGACUCAACAGAAAAGAGACUGACUUUGGAUGGUAGAACUGCUAAAACAACCUUUGAACCACUACUUUUAUUUAUUUUUUGAACCACUACUUUUAAAUGCCUUUAUUGUUUAAGCCAGGGACAGCUAGACUUUUUGUUACUUGCAGUGGAAUGCAUUCUACCUGAAAUACCAUACAAAUGCAGGGCCAGUAUUGUAGCAGAGCCAGCACACACUGACUUAUGAAAUGAUUGUAUCUAUUUUUUCCUAAUUCCACAUUCAGUGAUUUAAAAUAGCUUCAAAUCAUCUGUGGUAGAAGCAUUUAUUCUAUGUGAAUAGGUCAAAGAUGUAUAUGAGAUUUGUUUUCAGAGAGCUGAUUGUUAAGCAUUUAACAGCAACAUACCUCUAGGUGACUUACCUUACUCCUCCAAUUAAUGUAGUUACAACUACUCUGCUAGCUAUAUCUUUAAGUGUACUUUUAAUAGCAAAUGGGUAGUGAAUUGUAUGAGGAUAUUUUUAAGUUGUAGAAUCUUAGAAGUAGAAGAAGCUAGUACAUUUUAAAAAAUCAAAAUUAAGUAUCAAUUUGUUUAAAAACUAAGCUAAUCUUAUAUGUAACCUGACAUUACAUAACUAGUUCAUAGCAACUCAAGUCUUAUUAUGGCUUGUAUCUAGAUGUCCCCCCAAAGCUUUCUGUGGUCAUAGAUGGGGCUUUUCAGAG
Molecule: long non-coding RNA, 3144 nt
Organism: Fukomys damarensis (Damara mole-rat)
Lineage: Eukaryota; Metazoa; Chordata; Mammalia; Rodentia; Bathyergidae
Exons: 7
Source: RefSeq, a predicted model, not a curated record